UACGUACCGUACGAACGUUAUUCGGAAUUACUGGGCUUAAAGGGUUUGUAGGCGGCCUUGUAAGUCAGGUGUGAAAUCCCUCGGCUCAACCGAGGAAUAGCGCUUGAUACUGCAAGGCUUGAGGGAGACAGGGGUAAGCGGAACUGAUGGUGGAGCGGUGAAAUGCGUUGAUAUCAUCAGGAACACCGGUGGCGAAGGCGGCUUACUGGGUCUCUUCCGACGCUGAGGAACGAAAGCUAGGGUAGCGAACGGG
Molecule: ribosomal RNA, 253 nt
Filed under: uncultured bacterium
Lineage: Bacteria
Description: partial 16S ribosomal RNA
Rfam family: Bacterial small subunit ribosomal RNA
Source: RNAcentral